Molecule: unclassified non-coding RNA, 253 nt
Filed under: uncultured Bacillaceae bacterium
Lineage: Bacteria; Bacillati; Bacillota; Bacilli; Caryophanales; Bacillaceae
Description: contains 16S-23S intergenic spacer region
Rfam family: Bacterial small subunit ribosomal RNA
Source: RNAcentral
CACGUAGGAUCCAAGUGUUAUCCGGAAUUAUUGGGCGUAAAGCGCGCGCAGGCGGUUUCUUAAGUCUGAUGUGAAAGCCCACGGCUCAACCGUGGAGGGUCAUUGGAAACUGGGGAACUUGAGUGCAGAAGAGGAGAGUGGAAUUCCACGUGUAGCGGUGAAAUGCGUAGAGAUGUGGAGGAACACCAGUGGCGAAGGCGACUCUCUGGUCUGUAACUGACGCUGAGGCGCGAAAGCGUGGGGAGCGAACAGG